CGAACGAUGAACCGCUUUCGGGCGGGGAUUAGUGGCGAACGGGUGAGUAACACGUGGGCAAUCUGCCCUGCACUCUGGGACAAGCCCUGGAAACGGGGUCUAAUACCGGAUAUGACUGUCCAUCGCAUGGUGGAUGGUGUAAAGCUCCGGCGGUGCAGGAUGAGCCCGCGGCCUAUCAGCUUGUUGGUGAGGUAGUGGCUCACCAAGGCGACGACGGGUAGCCGGCCUGAGAGGGCGACCGGCCACACUGGGACUGAGACACGGCCCAGACUCCUACGGGAGGCAGCAGUGGGGAAUAUUGCACAAUGGGCGAAAGCCUGAUGCAGCGACGCCGCGUGAGGGAUGACGGCCUUCGGGUUGUAAACCUCUUUCAGCAGGGAAGAAGCGAAAGUGACGGUACCUGCAGAAGAAGCGCCGGCUAACUACGUGCCAGCAGCCGCGGUAAUACGUAGGGCGCAAGCGUUGUCCGGAAUUAUUGGGCGUAAAGAGCUCGUAGGCGGCUUGUCACGUCGGUUGUGAAAGCCCGGGGCUUAACCCCGGGUCUGCAGUCGAUACGGGCAGGCUAGAGUUCGGUAGGGGAGAUCGGAAUUCCUGGUGUAGCGGUGAAAUGCGCAGAUAUCAGGAGGAACACCGGUGGCGAAGGCGGAUCUCUGGGCCGAUACUGACGCUGAGGAGCGAAAGCGUGGGGAGCGAACAGGAUUAGAUACCCUGGUAGUCCACGCCGUAAACGGUGGGCACUAGGUGUGGGCAACAUUCCACGUUGUCCGUGCCGCAGCUAACGCAUUAAGUGC
This 791-nucleotide ribosomal RNA is filed under the name Streptomyces albidoflavus. RNAcentral's name for it is "bacterial SSU rRNA". It matches the Rfam family "Bacterial small subunit ribosomal RNA", at positions 63 to 867 of the family's 1533-position model. Lineage: Bacteria; Bacillati; Actinomycetota; Actinomycetes; Kitasatosporales; Streptomycetaceae. The record is from RNAcentral.